Gallus gallus (chicken) is the source of this 2857-nucleotide long non-coding RNA. RefSeq lists it as uncharacterized. NCBI's taxonomy places the organism in Eukaryota, Metazoa, Chordata, Aves, Galliformes, Phasianidae. The transcript is spliced from 4 exons. The record is from RefSeq and is a predicted model, not a curated record.
GUCUUUUUGAAGAUCCCUAUGUAGUUAAGGACUUCUGAAGGUCGCCAACACUGGAAGGCUUUCAUCCACUAUGAACAUUCCGUUAAUGACGCUGAUGGUUCAGAACACAUCUGCAAGAAUUGGUGCAUGUUAUUCAUUGGGCAGAAGUUAUUUAAGAUAGAGAAGAUAUUCUCAACCAGAAGAAACUGAAGUUGCAAGAUAUUCACAAAUUAGCUGAACUGCCUUAUAGAUUCGAAAUAUAAUCCUUUACAUUAAAAAUACUAUAAUUACAAAUGAAAUUAAUUCUGAUUAAAGUUGUGGAAUGCAAUGUCAAUAUUAUAAGCAUGCUUAUUCGUGUUUGCCUAAUAUUUUAACUAGCUGUUUUUGUUGCUGCAAGCCAUCUACUAUGCUUUAAUAAAAAUGAAUAUAAAUAUCAGUCCAGUCCUGUGAACAUCUUCAGUACAGAAGUAUAGUUUAUGAUCAAUCUGUGAGACUCUUGUCUAAAUAUCAGCCAUUUAAGUCUGUCUUUAGGUGAUUAAAUUGUUAUUUAAAUCCAGUAUCUCUGUGUAUCAUGAAAACUGUGCAGAAGACUGUAAGGUGUUCUCUACUCCUUUAGAGUAGACUUCUUGUAGAUACCAAAUUAGAAAAUGUUAUCUAUUACAAAUCUGCUCUUGGUUCUCACAUUUUCUAACUAAUAUAUUGGCCAAUAUGAAUAUGAACAAUAUGAAUACAUAUUAUUCAUGUAUGUGUAUUCAUAUAUGUAUAUUCACACAUUCAUAUGUAUUCAUACAUGAAUACAUAUAGAAUUUCAUGUUGUAUGUAUAAGUGCCGUUGUAUUUGGCAAAUGAUUUUAAAACAGCAUUAGAGAAACAACUGUGCUGUGAAAAAUGGUAUUAUGCUUUUUUGUUGUUGUUGUUGAAGUGGACAUUUCAUGGUUGACAUAAAGAAACCCUUGAAGAGAUGUGUAGAUGGUUUGGUCAAAGAAGAUUGUGUGGAGAUCUCUAACUGUUAAACUAUACACAAUUACAACAAAGAUCCGAUAGAUAAUAGUAUAAGUAUAAAAAAAAUUAAUGCAUUUGAGUUGAAGUUGGUCAAUGUUGUUGUUAUGUUAUUUUCAGAAAAGACAUCAGAGGAUAUUCCUGAAGACUGGGACUUAGAAUGCCCUGAAGUAGAUGGGGGAACUGCAGGCUGAUUAGCCUCCUGCCAGUCUGUGGAAAGAUCAUGGAGUAAUUUCUUCUGAAAAUUAUGUCCAUGCACAGAAAAGAAAAUGAUUGAAACAUUAGAAUCAUGAUUGAAGGUUAGAAGGUUGGAAAGGACCUCUAAGACCAUCUAAUCCUGCCAUCAACCCAUCACCACCAUGCUUGCUAAACCAUGUCCCUUUUCUCAGUGUCCCAUCUAAUUUUUUCUUGAACACCUCCAGGGAUGGUGACUCCACCAUUACACUUAGCAGACUGUUCCAGUACCUCAUACCUCACCACUCUUUACAGGAUGAACUUUUUUCUUCUUGGGAAGAAGCAGCAAGGAUUUAGAAAUGGGAACGUCUGCCUGACCUAUUUGAUUGCAACAUGACUAAUUCUAGGGACGAGGUGGUGGUGUUUAUCCCAGCAUCAGUGAUGCUUUUUGCAGUUAUAACCUUGCAGCAAAAUUUGAAAGAUGGCUUGGUACAUUGGGUGAAAAAUUGGCUGGCUGAAACAUCAGGCUCAAAGAUUUAUCAUUGGCGGUAUAAAUUCCAGCUGCUAGCUAACUGUGAGUGGCAUUCUCAAGGCUGCUACUAAGACCAAUCCUGUCUAAUAUAUUCAUAAAUAAUCUGAAUAAUGGGACUUCAUGAAGCCUUAACAAAUUUGAGGUUGAAUAACAAACUGGGAGGGGCAGUAGAUGUGCUAGAAGGUAGGAGUAUCAUUCAGAAUGACUUUUGGAGAAGGCUCAAUAAACUGGCUGAUAGGAACUUCACAAAGUUCAAGAAACACAAAUGCAGAAUCUUGUAGCACUUAGUGGUAUUAGAAAAGACAGUGUGUAAGAUAUAAGAAUAUUUCUAAAGAAAUCAUCUGCUUUCAUUGUAGAUAAGAAGAGUGAACUAGUAGUAUAAUGGUUUGUGGGUGGAACUCUUAUUAGCGAUAAAGUGGUUUACUCACCUACUCAGAUGCUGAAAAGUUUAUGAUAAUUACAGAUCUAUAUUGUUUGAUAUAAAAAUAAAGAUCUAUCUACACGUCCUUAUGUAACUCUGAAUACUGAAACACUUUGCUCUCUGUCAAAGUGGUUUAUAAAUAAUAAAUAAAUAAUAGUUCUAUCUGUAUAAUGGAAAGAAGUAUUUCCUAAACAUGUCAUCACUUCAUCUUUGUGUUCUGUAAAAAGAAAUAGUUUGAACGUGUUUAAGUUUUUUGACAGUAAACGCUAUCAGAUGUUUGUGCCUGAAAGGCUCAUUAUCUGAAAUGAUGGAUUUAGCCAUUAACAGACAAUGCAUUCAAAAGGAUUUUGAGAAAUCGAGGUAAGGUAAAAUGCUAUUUUGUGUAAUGAGGUACCUUGCAGGAUAUGAAUAAGAUUGUUUGCAGACUGAUGUGCCUAGGUACUCUGGGAUCAUCUAUGAAGUAUAGUAAUGGCAAUAAGAAAUAUGAGAAUAAUUUAUUUCCACCAAUUUUUACAUGCUUUCUUAUUUUUUUUUUCUGCUCUGUUUAUCUUUAUCAUAUCAUGAUCUUACUGACAAGUCAGACUUAGAGGUUGCUUUUAUAAUGAUAACUGGUGUAAUAAGGAACAGCUGCUAUUCUAGCUAAGGUCAGCAACUAAUGUAAUGAUAGCUGAGAUCAAAAACUAAUUUAAAGAAUCUGGGGGAAAAAAAAAAAAAAAAAACCAAGACAGGAAGUAAGAUUUUCAGUGGCAUUAU